UUACCGGGACGACCCGGUGUACGACCUGUCAUGCCGGGGACGACCCCA
Molecule: non-coding RNA, 48 nt
Filed under: Halomonas sp. BC04
Lineage: Bacteria; Pseudomonadati; Pseudomonadota; Gammaproteobacteria; Oceanospirillales; Halomonadaceae
Also listed under: 1 other name
Description: Guanidine-II riboswitch aptamer (mini-ykkC)
Rfam family: Guanidine-II riboswitch aptamer (mini-ykkC)
About the family: Simpler in structure and has fewer highly conserved nucleotide positions than the ykkC-yxkD leader. Despite this each of its two stem-loop structures directly bind free guanidine. Therefore, mini-ykkC RNA motif represents a distinct class of guanidine-sensing RNAs.
Source: Rfam by way of RNAcentral